UUUAUGGAGAGUUUGAUCCUGGCUCAGGAUGAACGCUGGCGGCGUGCCUAAUACAUGCAAGUCGAGCGAACGGACGAGAAGCUUGCUUCUCUGAUGUUAGCGGCGGACGGGUGAGUAACACGUGGAUAACCUACCUAUAAGACUGGGAUAACUUCGGGAAACCGGAGCUAAUACCGGAUAAUAUUUUGAACCGCAUGGUUCAAAAGUGAAAGACGGUCUUGCUGUCACUUAUAGAUGGAUCCGCGCUGCAUUAGCUAGUUGGUAAGGUAACGGCUUACCAAGGCAACGAUGCAUAGCCGACCUGAGAGGGUGAUCGGCCACACUGGAACUGAGACACGGUCCAGACUCCUACGGGAGGCAGCAGUAGGGAAUCUUCCGCAAUGGGCGAAAGCCUGACGGAGCAACGCCGCGUGAGUGAUGAAGGUCUUCGGAUCGUAAAACUCUGUUAUUAGGGAAGAACAUAUGUGUAAGUAACUGUGCACAUCUUGACGGUACCUAAUCAGAAAGCCACGGCUAACUACGUGCCAGCAGCCGCGGUAAUACGUAGGUGGCAAGCGUUAUCCGGAAUUAUUGGGCGUAAAGCGCGCGUAGGCGGUUUUUUAAGUCUGAUGUGAAAGCCCACGGCUCAACCGUGGAGGGUCAUUGGAAACUGGAAAACUUGAGUGCAGAAGAGGAAAGUGGAAUUCCAUGUGUAGCGGUGAAAUGCGCAGAGAUAUGGAGGAACACCAGUGGCGAAGGCGACUUUCUGGUCUGUAACUGACGCUGAUGUGCGAAAGCGUGGGGAUCAAACAGGAUUAGAUACCCUGGUAGUCCACGCCGUAAACGAUGAGUGCUAAGUGUUAGGGGGUUUCCGCCCCUUAGUGCUGCAGCUAACGCAUUAAGCACUCCGCCUGGGGAGUACGACCGCAAGGUUGAAACUCAAAGGAAUUGACGGGGACCCGCACAAGCGGUGGAGCAUGUGGUUUAAUUCGAAGCAACGCGAAGAACCUUACCAAAUCUUGACAUCCUUUGACAACUCUAGAGAUAGAGCCUUCCCCUUCGGGGGACAAAGUGACAGGUGGUGCAUGGUUGUCGUCAGCUCGUGUCGUGAGAUGUUGGGUUAAGUCCCGCAACGAGCGCAACCCUUAAGCUUAGUUGCCAUCAUUAAGUUGGGCACUCUAAGUUGACUGCCGGUGACAAACCGGAGGAAGGUGGGGAUGACGUCAAAUCAUCAUGCCCCUUAUGAUUUGGGCUACACACGU
This 1241-nucleotide ribosomal RNA is filed under the name Staphylococcus aureus. RNAcentral's name for it is "bacterial SSU rRNA". It matches the Rfam family "Bacterial small subunit ribosomal RNA", at positions 1 to 1223 of the family's 1533-position model. Lineage: Bacteria; Bacillati; Bacillota; Bacilli; Caryophanales; Staphylococcaceae. The record is from RNAcentral.